RNAcentral lists this ribosomal RNA (482 nucleotides) under uncultured bacterium. RNAcentral's name for it is "partial 16S ribosomal RNA". It matches the Rfam family "Bacterial small subunit ribosomal RNA", at positions 30 to 507 of the family's 1533-position model. The record is from RNAcentral.
AUUGAACGCUGGCGGCAUGCUUUACACAUGCAAGUCGAACGGUAACAGGCCGCAAGGUGCUGACGAGUGGCGAACGGGUGAGUAAUGCAUCGGAACGUGCCCAGUCGUGGGGGAUAACUACUCGAAAGAGUAGCUAAUACCGCAUACGAUCUAUGGAUGAAAGCGGGGGACCGUAAGGCCUCGCGCGAUUGGAGCGGCCGAUGUCAGAUUAGGUAGUUGGUGGGGUAAAGGCUCACCAAGCCAACGAUCUGUAGCUGGUCUGAGAGGACGACCAGCCACACUGGGACUGAGACACGGCCCAGACUCCUACGGGAGGCAGCAGUGGGGAAUUUUGGACAAUGGGCGCAAGCCUGAUCCAGCAAUGCCGCGUGCAGGAAGAAGGCCUUCGGGUUGUAAACUGCUUUUGUACGGAACGAAACGGCUCUGGUUAAUACCCGGGGCUAAUGACGGUACCGUAAGAAUAAGCACCGGCUAACUACAUG